GGUGAACGCUGGCGGCGUGCCUAAUACAUGCAAGUCGAGCGAACGGACGAGAAGCUUGCUUCUCUGAUGUUAGCGGCGGACGGGUGAGUAACACGUGGAUAACCUACCUAUAAGACUGGGAUAACUUCGGGAAACCGGAGCUAAUACCGGAUAAUAUUUUGAACCGCAUGGUUCAAAAGUGAAAGACGGUCUUGCUGUCACUUAUAGAUGGAUCCGCGCUGCAUUAGCUAGUUGGUAAGGUAACGGCUUACCAAGGCAACGAUGCAUAGCCGACCUGAGAGGGUGAUCGGCCACACUGGAACUGAGACACGGUCCAGACUCCUACGGGAGGCAGCAGUAGGGAAUCUUCCGCAAUGGGCGAAAGCCUGACGGAGCAACGCCGCGUGAGUGAUGAAGGUCUUCGGAUCGUAAAACUCUGUUAUUAGGGAAGAACAUAUGUGUAAGUAACUGUGCACAUCUUGACGGUACCUAAUCAGAAAGCCACGGCUAACUACGUGCCAGCAGCCGCGGUAAUACGUAGGUGGCAAGCGUUAUCCGGAAUUAUUGGGCGUAAAGCGCGCGUAGGCAGUUUUUUAAGUCUGAUGUGAAAGCCCACGGCUCAACCGUGGAGGGUCAUUGGAAACUGGAAAACUUGAGUGCAGAAGAGGAAAGUGGAAUUCCAUGUGUAGCGGUGAAAUGCGCAGAGAUAUGGAGGAACACCAGUGGCGAAGGCGACUUUCUGGUCUGUAACUGACGCUGAUGUGCGAAAGCGUGGGGAUCAAACAGGAUUAGAUACCCUGGUAGUCCACGCCGUAAACGAUGAGUGCUAAGUGUUAGGGGGUUUCCGCCUCUUAGUGCUGCAGCUAACGCAUUAAGCACUCCGCCUGGGGAGUACGACCGCAAGGUUGAAACUCAAAGGAAUUGACGGGGACCCGCACAAGCGGUGGAGCAUGUGGUUUAAUUCGAAGCAACGCGAAGAACCUUACCAAAUCUUGACAUCCUUUGACAACUCUAGAGAUAGAGCUUUCCCCUUCGGGGGACAAAGUGACAGGUGGUGCAUGGUUGUCGUCAGCUCGUGUCGUGAGAUGUUGGGUUAAGUCCCGCAACGAGCGCAACCCUUAAGCUUAGUUGCCAUCAUUAAGUUGGGCACUCUAAGUUGACUGCCGGUGACAAACCGGAGGAAGGUGGGGAUGACGUCAAAUCAUCAUGCCCCUUAUGAUUUGGGCUACACACGUGCUACAAUGGACAAUACAAAGGGCAGCGAAACCGCGAGGUCAAGCAAAUCCCAUAAAGUUGUUCUCAGUUCGGAUUGUAGUCUGCAACUCGACUACAUGAAGCUGGAAUCGCUAGUAAUCGUAGAUCAGCAUGCUACGGUGAAUACGUUCCCGGGUCU
RNAcentral lists this ribosomal RNA (1372 nucleotides) under uncultured bacterium. Its description in RNAcentral is "bacterial SSU rRNA". It matches the Rfam family "Bacterial small subunit ribosomal RNA", at positions 28 to 1381 of the family's 1533-position model. The record is from RNAcentral.